AUACGGAGGAUGCAAGCGUUAUCCGGAUUUAUUGGGUUUAAAGGGUGCGCAGGCGGCCAUUUAAGUCAGCGGUUAAAUCGUGGGGCUCAACCCCAUUCUGCCGUUGAUACUGGGUGGCUUGAUUGCGGUCGAGGUUGGCGGAAUUCGUUGUGUAGCGGUGAAAUGCAUAGAUAUGACGAAGAACACCGAUUGCGUAGGCAGCUGACCAGAUCGCAAAUGACGCUCAUGCACGAAAGUGCGGGGAUCGAACAGGAUUAGAUACCCUGGUAGUCCGCACAGUAAACGAUGAAUACUUGUUUUCGGCGAUAUAAUGUCGGAGGCAAAGCGAAAGCGAUAAGUAUUCCACCUGGGGAGUACGCCGGCAACGGUGAAACUCAAAUGAAUUGACGGGG
This 392-nucleotide ribosomal RNA is filed under the name uncultured bacterium. RNAcentral describes it as "partial 16S ribosomal RNA". It matches the Rfam family "Bacterial small subunit ribosomal RNA", at positions 523 to 918 of the family's 1533-position model. The record is from RNAcentral.